This is a small nuclear RNA of Pipistrellus kuhlii (Kuhl's pipistrelle), 107 nucleotides long. The record is from RefSeq and is a predicted model, not a curated record. Lineage: Eukaryota; Metazoa; Chordata; Mammalia; Chiroptera; Vespertilionidae.
GUGCUAACUUCAGCAGCAUGUAAGCUGAAAUUGGAACAGUACAGAGAAAAUCAGCAUGGUCCUCGUGCAAAGAUAACAUGCUGACUCAUGAAGCUGUCCAUAUUUUU